CAGCUAACGAAGCACGUUUUUGGGGCAUCAAAGGUAGCAGCCACAGCCAGUACUGGGAAACUGGACUUGUUAAGGAACUUGGGAGCAAACUUAGCCAUUGAUUAUAAAGGGGCUGCUUGAAGAUCUAGAAGAAAAAUUUGAUGUAGUGUACGAUACAAUAGGCAGAGUGAGAUUGAUAGAACAUUGAAGGCUGUUAAAGAAAAUGGGAAAGUUGUGAUAGUAGCAGCACAUGGAAGUUCUUCAGAUAUCUUCGUAAUGCUCAUACAGAAUCCCUAAGUUGGCUUGAGCGAUGGAGAAGUCGAGGACAAGUUGGAGAAGUUCAUUGCAGAGGGUCAUUGGAACAACAUGAUCGUUGGGUCUACUAUGAACUUUAU
Molecule: small RNA, 374 nt
Filed under: Vigna angularis var. angularis
Lineage: Eukaryota; Viridiplantae; Streptophyta; Magnoliopsida; Fabales; Fabaceae
Description: Non-protein coding transcript
Source: RNAcentral